CUGAGGCGUGACGACGAGGCACUACGGUGCUGAAGCAACAAAUGCCCUGCUUCCAGGAAAAGCCUCUAAGCAUCAGGUAACAUCAAAUCGUACCCCAAACCGACACAGGUGGUCAGGUAGAGAAUACCAAGGCGCUUGAGAGAACUCGGGUGAAGGAACUAGGCAAAAUGGUGCCGUAACUUCGGGAGAAGGCACGCUGACACGUAGGUGAAGUGAUUUACUCAUGGAGCUGAAGUCAGUCGAAGAUACCAGCUGGCUGCAACUGUUUAUUAAAAACACAGCACUGUGCAAACACGAAAGUGGACGUAUACGGUGUGACGCCUGCCCGGUGCCGGAAGGUUAAUUGAUGGGGUCAGCGCAAGCGAAGCUCCUGAUCGAAGCCCCGGUAAACGGCGGCCGUAACUAUAACGGUCCUAAGGUAGCGAAAUUCCUUGUCGGGUAAGUUCCGACCUGCACGAAUGGCGUAAUGAUGGCCAGGCUGUCUCCACCCGAGACUCAGUGAAAUUGAACUCGCUGUGAAGAUGCAGUGUACCCGCGGCAAGACGGAAAGACCCCGUGAACCUUUACUAUAGCUUGACACUGAACAUUGAGCCUUGAUGUGUAGGAUAGGUGGGAGGCUUUGAAGUGUGGACGCCAGUCUGCAUGGAGCCGACCUUGAAAUACCACCCUUUAAUGUUUGAUGUUCUAACGUGGACCCGUUACCCGGGUUGCGGACAGUGUCUGGUGGGUAGUUUGACUGGGGCGGUCUCCUCCUAAAGAGUAACGGAGGAGCACGAAGGUUGGCUAAUCCUGGUCGGACAUCAGGAGGUUAGUGCAAUGGCAUAAGCCAGCUUGACUGCGAGCGUGACGGCGCGAGCAGGUGCGAAAGCAGGUCAUAGUGAUCCGGUGGUUCUGAAUGGAAGGGCCAUCGCUCAACGGAUAAAAGGUACUCCGGGGAUAACAGGCUGAUACCGCCCAAGAGUUCAUAUCGACGGCGGUGUUUGGCACCUCGAUGUCGGCUCAUCACAUCCUGGGGCUGAAGUAGGUCCCAAGGGUAUGGCUGUUCGCCAUUUAAAGUGGUACGCGAGCUGGGUUUAGAACGUCGUGAGACAGUUCGGUCCCUAUCUGCCGUGGGCGCUGGAGAACUGAGGGGGGCUGCUCCUAGUACGAGAGGACCGGAGUGGACGCAUCACUGGUGUUCGGGUUGUCAUGCCAAUGGCACUGCCCGGUAGCUAAAUGCGGAAGAGAUAAGUGCUGAAAGCAUCUAAGCACGAAACUUGCCCCGAGAUGAGUUCUCCCUGAGACUUAGAGUCUCCUGAAGGAACGUUGAAGACGACGACGUUGAUAGGCCGGGUGUGUAAGCGCAGCGAUGCGUUGAGCUAACCGGUACUAAUGAACCGUGAGGCUUAACCUU
RNAcentral lists this ribosomal RNA (1393 nucleotides) under Salmonella enterica. RNAcentral's name for it is "partial 23S ribosomal RNA". It matches the Rfam family "Bacterial large subunit ribosomal RNA", at positions 1556 to 2925 of the family's 2925-position model. RNAcentral also lists the same sequence under 2 other names. Lineage: Bacteria; Pseudomonadati; Pseudomonadota; Gammaproteobacteria; Enterobacterales; Enterobacteriaceae. The record is from RNAcentral.